RNAcentral lists this ribosomal RNA (155 nucleotides) under Solanum tuberosum (potato). Its description in RNAcentral is "rRNA 5_8S_rRNA". It matches the Rfam family "5.8S ribosomal RNA". From Rfam's summary of the family: 5.8S ribosomal RNA (5.8S rRNA) is a component of the large subunit of the eukaryotic ribosome. It is transcribed by RNA polymerase I as part of the 45S precursor that also contains 18S and 28S rRNA. Functionally, it is thought that 5.8S rRNA may be involved in ribosome translocation. The record is from Rfam by way of RNAcentral. Lineage: Eukaryota; Viridiplantae; Streptophyta; Magnoliopsida; Solanales; Solanaceae.
GACUCUCGUCAACAGAUAUCUGAGUUCUCAUAUCGAUGAAGAACAUAGCGAAUACUUGAUGUAAAUUGUAAAAUUCCAUAAACCGUUGAGUACUGUUUGAAUGCAAAUUGUGUACUUGAAGUCAUUAAGUAGAAGACACGUUUGUCUGGACGUUA